CACAUCUCCUAAAUAUAAUUCUCCCCCAAAUCUUUCAAAGGCCAUUCAUCUUCACCACAAAGAACCACCGUCUUCACUUGUGACCGUCUGCCACUGCUAGAAACGAACCGCCAUUGACGACUCUUCUUGAAUCUGGGCUUGUGUCGAACCGUCUUCAAUGAGCAUGUGUCGAAUCUGCGUGAAUCUGGUCUUUUUUCGAAUCCGUGCAUUCACCUGUGAUCCUCUGCCCCUUUCAUCAUCACCACAACGAGCCUGUGUCUAAUCCAAUGAAUCAACGGGUUUGGAAGAAUUGGUCGAUUGGUGGCUAGGGUCGCCUUGCAGAGAGUUGAUGUUGAGCUUGUUGCAGUUAACGACCCUUUUGUCUCUGUGGUGUACACGGAUUUGAACAAGCGCCAUCACCCAUUAGACUUAAAUACUUUAAACUUAUUGACUUCUCUCCUGGUGAGAAAUAUUUGGUUACUUGCAGUAGUCAUGAACCAAGCAACCCUCGCGACACUCAUAGAGUAGUGCUUAACAUAUUUGAUGUGAGAACUGGAAAAAUAAUGAAAGGUUUCAAUGAAAGGGCAGAUGAGUUUGUGUUUGGAGAAACUGG
Long non-coding RNA from Helianthus annuus (common sunflower), 592 nucleotides. RefSeq lists it as uncharacterized. The record is from RefSeq and is a predicted model, not a curated record. The transcript is spliced from 4 exons. Lineage: Eukaryota; Viridiplantae; Streptophyta; Magnoliopsida; Asterales; Asteraceae.